GGGAGAGGUGGGGGUUUUCUCUGUUUCUGGCCAUAGUCGAGUGAAAAUGAACUGAAGUGUUGCCUUCCAAAAAGCGAAGCUUUGGGAAGACAGGAAGCACAGCGGAUGUGACGUCCCCAGAAGCUCGUCUGAUCUUGGUCAGCAGGCGGUGCUCCUGGCCUUUGAGGCAGAAGCUCAGAAAUGGGGCUAAUGCACGUGGCGCUGGUGAAGCCGUCCGUCUGCACGUUACAGUUCAGGGGAGGUGUGGACCCGAGUUAGAUAGAGUCUGUAUCGUGAGACUGUGAGUCCAAGCGGGCCUCACCCCAUCCCCCACUUAAUCACCGGGCUUCCCUCGGUCCCAUCUGCCAUGUUCUGAUGAUUCAGCGACCGUCAUGGGGUCACCCCCCUAUAUGUCAGCAGCUCUGCUGGGCAGUGAGAAGCCUGACUCUGUAGGACGUUUGCGUUUGAAAACGGGGAACGCCUUCCUCCGUGGACCAGCCUGCGGCCCAGAGAGCUGCCUCCUAGAUCAGCACCACCCGCCUGUGCUUUGUGUGCCCCAUCCAGUACGGUCCUCGCCCACCCCACGGGCCACCGAGCACUCAGGUGUAGCUAGUGUGACUGAGGAUGUCAGGUGUUCACUCGCUUGACUCAGUCAAGGUGGACAGUGGCCACCAUGUUGGGGAGCGUGGUUCCGGAGGCGGCAGGAGGCCAGGGCUCAUGCUCGCUGCUCGCAGAUGUUCCAGCUCGUAACCCUCCUGUAAGUAAGUCCCGUCCGAACUGAUGGGAAUUGAUGCUUGUUCGAGUGCUGUGCCACAUGGGUGAGAAAUGAGAGGGUAAAUAACAUUUCCUAACUGCGAAUAAGGCCCCAUGCUCUGGACGAGUACGGUUUCUUAUCUGGUUUCUGGCUGAGCCUCAGCAGACAUACAGGAAAUGGGAAAAUCAAUGGCCAUGCUUUUUUAAGAGUGGCGGCUCAAAAAAGCAAUUCUUAAAUAUUUAUGAACUUUAUUUUACAAAUUCAGAUCAUUGAAAUGCAACAGAAGAACAAAGUGGCAGCCACCUCCGUUGUUUGCACAGCUGAAUUAGUUUUUCUGGAAUUCACUGUAAAGUCUGCUUUAAAAUAAUU
This 1102-nucleotide long non-coding RNA is filed under the name Ailuropoda melanoleuca (giant panda). Its description in RNAcentral is "lncRNA (ENSAMEG00000030800.1)". Lineage: Eukaryota; Metazoa; Chordata; Mammalia; Carnivora; Ursidae. The record is from RNAcentral.